Molecule: ribosomal RNA, 1122 nt
Filed under: Acontista aurantiaca
Lineage: Eukaryota; Metazoa; Arthropoda; Insecta; Mantodea; Acanthopidae
Description: SSU rRNA
Rfam family: Eukaryotic small subunit ribosomal RNA
Source: RNAcentral
ACCGCGAUGGCUCAUUAAAUCAGUUAUGGUUCCUUAGAUGGUGCACAGUUACUUGGAUAACUGUGGUAAUUCUAGAGCUAAUACAUGCAACUCGGUCCCGACCGGCGACGGAAGGGACGCUUUUAUUAGAUCAAAACCAAUCGGUCUUCGGGCCGUUUGCCUUGGUGACUCUGAAUAAAUUGUGGCAGAUCGCACGGCCUCCGAGCCGGCGACGCAUCUUUCAAAUGUCUGCCUUAUCAACUGUCGAUGGUAGGUUCUGCGCCUACCAUGGUUGUAACGGGUAACGGGGAAUCAGGGUUCGAUUCCGGAGAGGGAGCCUGAGAAACGGCUACCACAUCCAAGGAAGGCAGCAGGCGCGCAAAUUACCCACUCCCGGCACGGGGAGGUAGUGACGAAAAAUAACGAUACGGGACUCAUCCGAGGCCCCGUAAUCGGAAUGAGUACACUUUAAAUCCUUUAACGAGUAUCCAUUGGAGGGCAAGUCUGGUGCCAGCAGCCGCGGUAAUUCCAGCUCCAAUAGCGUAUAUUAAAGUUGUUGCGGUUAAAAAGCUCGUAGUCGGACUUGUGUCCCACGCUGCCGGUUCACCGCCCGUCGGUGUCUAACUGGCAUGCACGUGCGGACGUCCUGCCGGUGGCCCGAACCGGCGCGGGUCUCGCACCCGUCGUCCGGGGAAGGCCUAUCAUACCCGUCGCGGUGCUCUUAACCGAGUGUCUCGAUGGGCCGGCACGUUUACUUUGAACAAAUUAGAGUGCUUAAAGCAGGCAGCAUCCGCCUGAAUACCGAGUGCAUGGAAUAAUGGAAUAGGACCUCGGUUCUAUUUUGUUGGUUUUCGGAAUCCCCGAGGUAAUGAUCAAUAGGACAGACGGGGGCAUUCGUAUUGCGACGUUGAAGGUGAAAUUCUUGGAUCGUCACAGGACGGACCGAAGCGAAAGCAUUUGCCAAGAAUGUUUUCUCUGAUCAAGAACGAAAGUUAGAGGUUCCAAGGCUAUCACAUACCGCCCUAGUUCUAACCAUACACAAUGCCAGCCAGCAAUCCGCCAAAUUUCCUCCCAUGACUCCGCGGGCGGCUUCCGGGAAACCAAGCCUUUUGGGUUCCGGGGGAAGUAUGGUUGCAAAGCUGA